This 518-nucleotide ribosomal RNA is filed under the name uncultured bacterium. RNAcentral describes it as "bacterial SSU rRNA". It matches the Rfam family "Bacterial small subunit ribosomal RNA", at positions 29 to 518 of the family's 1533-position model. The record is from RNAcentral.
ACGAACGCUGGCGGCGUGCCUAAUACAUGCAAGUCGAACGGUCUUUUCUAUGGAAGCUUGCUUCCAACUGAGAAGAUAGUGGCGAACGGGUGAGUAACACGUGGGUAACCUGCCCAUAAGAGGGGGAUAACAUCCGGAAACGGGUGCUAAUACCGCAUAGUUUUCUUGAUCGCAUGAUUGAGAAAGGAAAGACGGCCUUUGUGCUGUCGCUUAUGGAUGGACCCGCGGCGUAUUAGUUAGUUGGUGAGGUAACGGCUCACCAAGACGAUGAUACGUAGCCGACCUGAGAGGGUGAUCGGCCACAUUGGGACUGAGACACGGCCCAAACUCCUACGGGAGGCAGCAGUAGGGAAUCUUCCGCAAUGGACGAAAGUCUGACGGAGCAACGCCGCGUGAGUGAAGAAAGGUUUUCGGAUCGUAAAACUCUGUUGUCAGAGAAGAACAAGUUGGAGAGUAACUGCUCCAGCCUUGACGGUAUCUGACCAGAAAGCCACGGCUAACUACGUGCCAGCCGCUGC